Molecule: long non-coding RNA, 684 nt
Filed under: Microcebus murinus (gray mouse lemur)
Lineage: Eukaryota; Metazoa; Chordata; Mammalia; Primates; Cheirogaleidae
Description: lncRNA (ENSMICG00000048807.1)
Source: RNAcentral
UUAUAAUUCCUAUUCUUUAAAAAUAUUUUGUCAGUUUUAAAAAUAUGAUGCUUUUAAUGGAAAUUCUUCUUAUCAGUGACCUAAAAAUAUAUGUAUAUAUUUUAUUAUUUAGAUGUUACGGAUAAACGCUUUGCUUGUUCUAGCAAAGGGUUCCCCAAAGUGAAUGAAAUAAUCAAGUUGUAUCUUACCUCAGAAAACUUGAAAGUCCAGUGUUUUUUCCAAACUGAAAAUGAGAUUUCUUCAAAAGGAAUGCUGAGUGUGUUCACAUCAGGAGGACUUGCUCCCAGCUUGGGAAUCAUGAAUAGUACCUAUAAUGGCAUCUUCCACUUUAAUUUGUCAUUGUUUAGUGACCGGGUUUACUGGUUGAUUGAUAUUCCUAGAGAAAACAUCACACAAAACACAGAUAUUGCAGCUGUAGAAGAAUGGUCAGUAAGGAUCACUUUACAUCAUGGAUUAAAUAUUUAUGCUACUGAAGGAACCCUAUUGGAUAGUAUUCGAGAACCUAUUCUUCAGUGGACUCCUGGGAUUCUGAUUUCAGAAAGUGAUGUCCUUAAUUUAUAUCCACAUGUGGUAGAUAUCAAAGUGACAAAAUGCCCCUGUGCCAAUGAUGUAGCACUACUAGCCUUCAUUUUGGGUACCACAUUUGAUGGUAAGUUUACAGCUUUAUUAAAUGUUAGAAGUGGC